This is a non-coding RNA of Triticum aestivum (bread wheat), 125 nucleotides long. Lineage: Eukaryota; Viridiplantae; Streptophyta; Magnoliopsida; Poales; Poaceae. The record is from Rfam.
CACCUACUCUCUCCAUCCCUAAAUACUUGUCGGAGAGAUGGAUAAAACUGAAUGUAUCUAUAAUUAAAAUAUGUCUAGAUACAUCAAUUUCUCCGAAAAGUAUUUACGGACGAAGGGAGUACUUA